Poeciliopsis prolifica (blackstripe livebearer) is the source of this 266-nucleotide long non-coding RNA. RefSeq lists it as uncharacterized. The transcript is spliced from 3 exons. NCBI's taxonomy places the organism in Eukaryota, Metazoa, Chordata, Actinopteri, Cyprinodontiformes, Poeciliidae. The record is from RefSeq and is a predicted model, not a curated record.
UCCACACUUACAAUGUAGCCUAGACAAUGUCAUGAAAAAGGACAAAUCCUUCGGCGAUAGAAGAAAAGAAGAUGCAAUUUUGGGGAUACAAAAACAAGCCAAAGAAGCCUCCAUGCCAAUGCACCCUGCACACCAUGGAUCAUCAUCUGCUACACCCAACUGAGUGGCCAUCUUCCCUGUCAGCGUUAGACAGGACUGAGCAGGUGUCGCUCAGUAGAUCGACAGUGUCUGAAGUUUUCUAACAAGUCUGACGGGACCAACAGCCA